RNAcentral lists this ribosomal RNA (461 nucleotides) under uncultured bacterium. RNAcentral describes it as "partial 16S ribosomal RNA". It matches the Rfam family "Bacterial small subunit ribosomal RNA", at positions 339 to 795 of the family's 1533-position model. The record is from RNAcentral.
CUACGGGGGGCUGCAGUCGAGAAUCUUCGGCAAUGGACGCAAGUCCGACCGAGCGACGCCGCGUGCGGGAUGAAGGCCUUCGGGUUGUAAACCGCUGUCAGAGGGGAGGAAAUGCAUGGGGGCUAUCCCCUGUGUUUGACCUAUCCUCAGAGGAAGUACGGGCUAAGUUCGUGCCAGCAGCCGCGGUAACACGAACCGUACGAACGUUAUUCGGAAUCACUGGGCUUAAAGGGUGCGUAGGCGGCCUUGCAAGUUGGGUGUGAAAUCCCUCGGCUCAACCGAGGAACUGCGCUCAAAACUGCAAGGCUUGAGGGAGACAGAGGUGAGCGGAACUAAUGGUGGAGCGGUGAAAUGCGUUGAUAUCAUUAGGAACACCGGUGGCGAAGGCGGCUCACUGGGUCUCUUCUGACGCUGAGGCACGAAAGCUAGGGUAGCGAACGGGAUUAGAUACCCCGGUAGUC